RNAcentral lists this ribosomal RNA (253 nucleotides) under uncultured bacterium. RNAcentral's name for it is "partial 16S ribosomal RNA". It matches the Rfam family "Bacterial small subunit ribosomal RNA", at positions 524 to 776 of the family's 1533-position model. The record is from RNAcentral.
UACGAAGGGGGCUAGCGUUGCUCGGAAUGACUGGGCGUAAAGGGCGCGUAGGCGGUUUAGACAGUCAGAUGUGAAAUUCCCGGGCUUAACCUGGGGGCUGCAUUUGAUACGUCUAGGCUUGAGUGAGGAAGAGGGUUGUGGAAUUCCCAGUGUAGAGGUGAAAUUCGUAGAUAUUGGGAAGAACACCGGUGGCGAAGGCGGCAUCCUGGACCAACACUGACACUGAGGAGCGAAAGCCAGGGGAGCAAACGGG